RNAcentral lists this ribosomal RNA (301 nucleotides) under uncultured bacterium. Its description in RNAcentral is "partial 16S ribosomal RNA". It matches the Rfam family "Bacterial small subunit ribosomal RNA", at positions 509 to 807 of the family's 1533-position model. The record is from RNAcentral.
CAGUCGCCGCGGUAAUGCGAAGGGGGCUAGCGUUGCUCGGAAUGACUGGGCGUAAAGCGCACGUAGGCGGCUUUGUAAGUUAGAGGUGAAAGCCUGGGGCUCAACUCCAGAAUUGCCUUUAAGACUGCAUCGCUUGGACGUCGGAGAGGUGAGUGGAAUUCCGAGUGUAGAGGUGAAAUUCGUAGAUAUUCGCAAGAACACCAGUGGCGAAGGCGGCUCACUGGCCCGGUACUGACGCUGAGGUGCGAAAGCGUGGGGAGCAAACAGGAUUAGAUACCCCAGUAGUCCCUGUCUCUUAUAC